Long non-coding RNA from Erinaceus europaeus (western European hedgehog), 1537 nucleotides. RefSeq lists it as uncharacterized. The record is from RefSeq and is a predicted model, not a curated record. The transcript is spliced from 3 exons. Lineage: Eukaryota; Metazoa; Chordata; Mammalia; Eulipotyphla; Erinaceidae.
GGGCUCGGUUUGCUUGUGUUACUGUUGCUCAGAGGAGGAAGAGAGAGUUAGUCAAGCCUUCUGGAAAGGGGACGUGUAUGUGAAUGUGUUUAUGCGGAGGGGUGUGGAGACAGACAAGGACACAGCAACCUGCAAACAGCAGCGCCCCCAUUUACUCACAUGUGGGGCCAUGAAGUGAAUUGGAGCACACAUGGCCAAGAUUCCAACCCCAAUGAGGACUCUACCCACCACUGGCUCUUCCCAGCUCCCGGCAGAGUAAGGACGGAGACCUCAGGGUGUGCUGUCCUGAGAGCUGGACCCCAAACAGGCCAACAGAUAUGGCUGAGGGAAAGAAACUACCAAAGCUUCCUUCAGUGUGAUGGAGGUGGAGUUCAAACCGGGUCGCUCACAUGGAAAAGCAGUGCACUACCCCAGUGAGCUAUUUUGUAGGCCCAACGACAGCAAAUUCUAAAUGCUAAUGUCCAAGCCGACCGUGAGCUUACACAAGCCCUCGUAUCCAGUGAGGACUCAUGUCCUGUGUAUUAAAGGCCCUCAGCUCUGGCCCCUCUACUGUCCACAUCAGCACUUCAUUGUGGCCUGUAUGGAUCCAGUGGCCCACACCCUUGAUCUUCAUAAUUCAUUUCAACAACUCAACUGGACAUUGCAGCCCAUCCUGUGUUAUGAACACAGGACAGACCCCAAGAGCUGCUGGCAAGACCAGGGACUCUGUCCCCGCUGGAGAUUACAGACAUUUCCAUGUCAUGCUGUCUCACAACAUUAUUUACACCUGUCACCACUGUAAGAUGAUGGUGGUUAUUAGGCCUGCCACUAAGCCCAGUCACUUAAUGUGUGAAUAAAGAUACAAACGCCUCACUGCUCCGCGCACGUGUCGGCUUUAUGGAAGGCUGUGACUCCAAUACAACUGCUUUUCCUGUAUUUGCAUUUUUUUUAAUUUAAAAUUAUAGAUCAGAAAAGGGACCAUGGGCUUCACUGGAUAUCAGAGAGACCAAUGACACAGAACAGAAUGUUCCCUGCUCCACAUGGGAGACCCCUGGGCCCACCCAUUCCACCUGCCUAAGGAGCGACAGGGUGGAGCAGGAAUUGUUAAAUAUGGUUGUGGUCUCUAUCUGUCCAUUAACUCUUCCACCUUCUUUCCUUUCUCCUGCCUUGCACCCUCCCUGCCUUCCUUCCAUUCCUCCUUCCCCCCGGUGAUGCAUCAUUCCAUCUGUCCAUCUGCCCCCUUCCAUCAUCUCUCCAGCCCAAGCUACAGCCCUAACUCUAGGUUCCCUAAACCCCCCACCCGAGUCAGUUCUGCAGUGCAGAUGAAGACUAGCACAGGAGGCGGAAGCACAACUCACUAUGAAAAGAGGUGGCACUGUGCUCUUGUGUGGCUGACCUUAUGCCAUGGGGCUGACCUACCUCGCAGGAGACUGGCACAGGCUCUGUCUUGGCUCUUACAUGAAGUCUGCUCUGCCUUUCUGUUUUCAGAGUCUCAGUGGCUGAGCUUUAAGGGAGAGUCACGCUCUUACCAAACUCCUUGACUGCCAGGCUCAGGGGC